GACGAACGCUGGCGGCGUGCUUAACACAUGCAAGUCGAACGGAAAGGCCUUGCUUUUGUGGGGUGCUCGAGUGGCGAACGGGUGAGUAACACGUGAGUAACCUGCCCUCGACUUUGGGAUAACUUCAGGAAACUGGGGCUAAUACCGGAUAGGAGCUCCUGCUGCAUGGUGGGGGUUGGAAAGUUUCGGCGGUUGGGGAUGGACUCGCGGCUUAUCAGCUUGUUGGUGGGGUAGUGGCUUACCAAGGCUUUGACGGGUAGCCGGCCUGAGAGGGUGACCGGCCACAUUGGGACUGAGAUACGGCCCAGACUCCUACGGGAGGCAGCAGUGGGGAAUAUUGCACAAUGGGCGGAAGCCUGAUGCAGCAACGCCGCGUGCGGGAUGACGGCCUUCGGGUUGUAAACCGCUUUCGCCUGUGACGAAGCGUGAGUGACGGUAAUGGUAAAGAAGCACCGGCUAACUACGUG
Molecule: ribosomal RNA, 467 nt
Filed under: uncultured bacterium
Lineage: Bacteria
Description: partial 16S ribosomal RNA
Rfam family: Bacterial small subunit ribosomal RNA
Source: RNAcentral